This 253-nucleotide ribosomal RNA is filed under the name uncultured bacterium. RNAcentral's name for it is "partial 16S ribosomal RNA". It matches the Rfam family "Bacterial small subunit ribosomal RNA", at positions 524 to 776 of the family's 1533-position model. The record is from RNAcentral.
GACAGAGGGUGCAAACGUUGUUCGGAAUUACUGGGCGUAAAGCGUGUGUAGGCGGCUUUGUAAGUCGGAUGUGAAAGCCCCGGGCUCAACCCGGGAAGUGCACUCGAUACUGCGAAGCUUGAGUACUGGAGAGGUUGGUGGAAUUCUCGGUGUAGAGGUGAAAUUCGUAGAUAUCGAGAGGAACACCGGUGGCGAAGGCGGCCAACUGGACAGAUACUGACGCUGAGGCACGAAAGCGUGGGUAGCAAACAGG